GAUGAACGCUAGCGGCAGGCUUAAUACAUGCAAGUCGUACGGGAUCCGAGGUAGCAAUAUCUUGGUGAGAGCGGCGCACGGGUGCGUAACACGUAUGCAACCUACCUUUAACCGGGACACAACCUCGAGAAAUUGAGGCUAAUAUCCCAUAACACUGCGAGAUGGCAUCAUUUUGCAGUUAAAACUCCGGUGGUUAUUGAUGGGCAUGCGCGACAUUAGCUAGUUGGUGAGGUAACGGCCCACCAAGGCUACGAUGUCUAGGGGUUCUGAGAGGAUUAUCCCCCACACUGGUACUGAGACACGGACCCGAUCCUACGGGAGGCAGCAGUAAGGAAUAUUGGACAAUGGUCGGAAGACUGAUCCAGCCAUCGGCCGCGUGAAGGAUGAAGGCGCUCAGCGUUGUAAACUUCUUUGUAAC
This 418-nucleotide ribosomal RNA is filed under the name uncultured bacterium. RNAcentral's name for it is "bacterial SSU rRNA". It matches the Rfam family "Bacterial small subunit ribosomal RNA", at positions 28 to 441 of the family's 1533-position model. The record is from RNAcentral.